GACGAACGCUGGCGGCGUGCUUAACACAUGCAGGUCGAACGGUAAGGCCCUUUCGGGGGUACACGAGUGGCGAACGGGUGAGUAACACGUGGGUGAUCUGCCCUGCACUUUGGGAUAAGCCUGGGAAACUGGGUCUAAUACCGGAUAGGACUACGCGAUGCAUGUCGUGUGGUGGAAAGCUUUUGCGGUGUGGGAUGGGCCCGCGGCCUAUCAGCUUGUUGGUGGGGUGAUGGCCUACCAAGGCGACGACGGGUAGCCGGCCUGAGAGGGUGUCCGGCCACACUGGGACUGAGAUACGGCCCAGACUCCUACGGGAGGCAGCAGUGGGGAAUAUUGCACAAUGGGCGCAAGCCUGAUGCAGCGACGCCGCGUGGGGGAUGACGGCCUUCGGGUUGUAAACCCCUUUCAGCACAGACGAAGCGUAAGUGACGGUAUGUGCAGAAGAAGCACCGGCCAACUACGUG
This 464-nucleotide ribosomal RNA is filed under the name uncultured bacterium. RNAcentral describes it as "partial 16S ribosomal RNA". It matches the Rfam family "Bacterial small subunit ribosomal RNA", at positions 28 to 507 of the family's 1533-position model. The record is from RNAcentral.